UAGUCAUAUGCUUGUCUCAAAGAUUAAGCCAUGCAUGUCUAAGCACAAGCCGAUUAAUGGUGAAGCCGCGAAUGGCUCAUUACAACAGCCAUAGUUUCUUAGAUCUUACUUUUCUACUUGGAUCACUGUGGUAAUUCUAGAGCUAAUACACGCAAACAAGCUCAGACCUUACGGAAUGAGCGCAUUUAUUAGAACAAAAACCAAUCGGGCUUCGGCCCGUCAUUUGGUGAAUCUGAAUAACUUUGCUGAUCGCACGGUCAUCGUACCGGCGACGUAUCUUUCAAAUGUCUGCCUUAUCAACUUUCGAUGGUAGUUUAUGCGCCUACCAUGGUUGUAACGGGUAACGGAGAAUAAGGGUUCGACUCCGGAGAGGGAGCCUGAGAAACGGCUACCACAUCCAAGGAAGGCAGCAGGCACGCAAAUUACCCACUCCCGGCACGGGGAGGUAGUGACGAAAAAUAACGAGACGGCUCGCUAUGCGGUCCGUCAUCGGAAUGGGUACAAUUUAAAUCCUUUAACGAGGAUCUAUU
RNAcentral lists this ribosomal RNA (530 nucleotides) under uncultured eukaryote. RNAcentral describes it as "SSU rRNA". It matches the Rfam family "Eukaryotic small subunit ribosomal RNA", at positions 21 to 549 of the family's 1831-position model. The record is from RNAcentral.